AACGAACGCUGGCGGCAGGCUUAACACAUGCAAGUCGAGCGCCCCGCAAGGGGAGCGGCAGACGGGUGAGUAACGCGUGGGAAUCUACCCAUCCCUACGGAAUAGCUCCGGGAAACUGGAAUUAAUACCGUAUACGCCCUACGGGGGAAAGAUGUAUCGGGGAUGGAUGAGCCCGCGUUGGAUGAGCUAGUUGGUGGGGUAAAGGCCUACCAAGGCGACGAUCCAUAGCUGGUCUGAGAGGAUGAUCAGCCACAUUGGGACUGAGACACGGCCCAAGCUCCUACGGGAGGCAGCAGUGGGGAAUAUUGGACAAUGGGGGCAACCCUGAUCCAGCCAUGCCGCGUGAGUGAUGAAGGCCUUAGGGUUGUAAAGCUCUUUCACCGGGGAAGAUAAUGACGGUACCCGGAGAAGAAGCCCCGGCUAACUUCGUGCCACCAGCCGCCGUAA
This 447-nucleotide ribosomal RNA is filed under the name uncultured bacterium. RNAcentral describes it as "partial 16S ribosomal RNA". It matches the Rfam family "Bacterial small subunit ribosomal RNA", at positions 29 to 523 of the family's 1533-position model. The record is from RNAcentral.